AUACGGAGGAUCCGAGCGUUAUCCGGAUUUAUUGGGUUUAAAGGGUGCGCAGGCGGCCAUUUAAGUUAGCGGUUAAAUCGUGGGGCUCAACCCCAUUCUGCCGUUGAUACUGGGUGGCUUGAUUGCGGUCGAGGUUGGCGGAAUUCGUUGUGUAGCGGUGAAAUGCAUAGAUAUGACGAAGAACACCGAUUGCGUAGGCAGCUGACCAGACCGCAAAUGACGCUCAUGCACGAAAGUGCGGGGAUCGAACAGGAUUAGAUACCCUGGUAGUCCGCACAGUAAACGAUGAAUACUUGUUUUCGGCGAUAUAAUGUCGGAGGCAAAGCGAAAGCGAUAAGUAUUCCACCUGGGGAGUACGCCGGCAACGGUGAAACUCAAAGGAAUUGACGGGG
RNAcentral lists this ribosomal RNA (392 nucleotides) under uncultured bacterium. Its description in RNAcentral is "partial 16S ribosomal RNA". It matches the Rfam family "Bacterial small subunit ribosomal RNA", at positions 523 to 918 of the family's 1533-position model. The record is from RNAcentral.